RNAcentral lists this transfer RNA (76 nucleotides) under Armatimonadota bacterium. RNAcentral's name for it is "Armatimonadetes bacterium (anaerobic digester metagenome) tRNA-Ala". It matches the Rfam family "tRNA". Rfam says of the family: Transfer RNA (tRNA) molecules are approximately 80 nucleotides in length. Lineage: Bacteria; Bacillati; Armatimonadota. The record is from RNAcentral.
GGGCCUGUGGCUCAGCUGGGAGAGCGCCUCGUUCGCAACGAGGAGGUCGGGGGUUCGAAUCCCCCCAGGUCCACCA